RNAcentral lists this ribosomal RNA (377 nucleotides) under Clostridioides difficile. RNAcentral describes it as "bacterial LSU rRNA". It matches the Rfam family "Bacterial large subunit ribosomal RNA", at positions 2476 to 2855 of the family's 2925-position model. The record is from RNAcentral. Lineage: Bacteria; Bacillati; Bacillota; Clostridia; Peptostreptococcales; Peptostreptococcaceae.
AACAGGCUUAUCUCCCCCAAGAGUCCACAUCGACGGGGAGGUUUGGCACCUCGAUGUCGGCUCAUCACAUCCUGGGGCUGUAGUAGGUCCCAAGGGUUGGGCUGUUCGCCCAUUAAAGUGGUACGCGAGCUGGGUUCAGAACGUCGUGAGACAGUUCGGUCCCUAUCCGUCGCAGGCGUAGGAAAGUUGAGAAGACCUGUCCUUAGUACGAGAGGACCGGGAUGGACGUACCUCUGGUGUACCAGUUGUCCUGCCAAGGGCAUGGCUGGGUAGCUAUGUACGGAAUGGAUAAGCGCUGAAAGCAUCUAAGCGCGAAGCCAACUUCAAGAUAAGAUUUCCCACCGCAAGGGUAAGACCCCAGAAAGACUAUCUGGUUG